GGGAGCCCAGUGAGUUGAGAGGCUCACGCUGGGUUAACGGGGCAAACAGGCACUCAGCAAAGCGGAUGCGCGCAAAUAUGAAUUUUUAAAGGCUCCUUAAAGUCAAUAAACCUAACUUUAUGAUGCUUUCCAUUUCUAAAUCAAAACUGAGUUUGUCGGCUUCACCUUAC
RNAcentral lists this non-coding RNA (170 nucleotides) under Nitrosomonas communis. The record is from RNAcentral. Lineage: Bacteria; Pseudomonadati; Pseudomonadota; Betaproteobacteria; Nitrosomonadales; Nitrosomonadaceae.